GACGAACGCUGGCGGCGUGCUUAACACAUGCAAGUCGAACGGAAAGGCCCUGCUUUUGUGGGGUGCUCGAGUGGCGAACGGGUGAGUAACACGUGAGUAACCUGCCCUUGACUUUGGGAUAACUUCAGGAAACUGGGGCUAAUACCGGAUAGGAGCUCCUGCUGCAUGGUGGGGGUUUGAAAGUUUCGGCGGUUGGUGAUGGACUCGCGGCUUAUCAGCUUGUUGGUGGGGUAGUGGCUUACCAAGGCUUUGACGGGUAGCCGGCCUGCGAGGGUGACCGGCCACAUUGGGACUGAGAUACGGGCCAGACUCCUACGGGGGGCAGCAGUGGGGAAUAGUGCACAAUGGGCGGAAGCCUGAUGCAGCAACGCCGCGUGCGGGAUGACGGCCUUCGGGUUGUAAACCGCUUUCGCCUGUGACGAAGCGUGAGUGACGGUAAUGGGUAAAGAAGCACCGGCUAACUACGUG
This 468-nucleotide ribosomal RNA is filed under the name uncultured bacterium. Its description in RNAcentral is "partial 16S ribosomal RNA". It matches the Rfam family "Bacterial small subunit ribosomal RNA", at positions 28 to 507 of the family's 1533-position model. The record is from RNAcentral.